UACGGAGGGUCCAAGCGUUAUCCGGAAUCAUUGGGCUUAAAGGGUCCGUAGGCGGUUUUGUAAGUCAGUGGUGAAAGCCCAUCGCUCAACGGUGGAACGGCCAUUGAUACUGCAAGACUUGAAUUAUUAGGAAGUAACUAGAAUAUGUAGUGUAGCGGUGAAGUGCUUAGAGAUUACAUGGAAUACCAAUUGCGAAGGCAGGUUACUACUAAUGGAUUGACGCUGAUGGACGAAAGCGUGGGGAGCGAACAGG
RNAcentral lists this ribosomal RNA (253 nucleotides) under uncultured bacterium. Its description in RNAcentral is "partial 16S ribosomal RNA". It matches the Rfam family "Bacterial small subunit ribosomal RNA", at positions 524 to 776 of the family's 1533-position model. The record is from RNAcentral.